This 467-nucleotide ribosomal RNA is filed under the name uncultured bacterium. Its description in RNAcentral is "partial 16S ribosomal RNA". It matches the Rfam family "Bacterial small subunit ribosomal RNA", at positions 28 to 506 of the family's 1533-position model. The record is from RNAcentral.
GACGAACGCUGGCGGCGUGCUUAACACAUGCAAGUCGAACGGAAAGGCCCUACUUUUGUGGGGUGCUCGAGUGGCGAACGGGUGAGUAACACGUGAGUAACCUGCCCUUGACUUUGGGAUAACUUCAGGAAACGGCGGCUAAUACCGGAUAGGAGAUCCUGCUGCAUGGUGGGGGUUGGAAAGUUUCGGCGGUUGGGGAUGGACUCGCGGCUUAUCAGCUUGUUGGUGGGGUAGUGGCUUACCAAGGCUUGGACGGGUAGCCGGCCUGAGAGGGUGACCGGCAACAUGGGGACGGGGAUACGGCCCAGAUUCCUACGGGGGGCAGCAGUGGGGAAUAUUGCACAAGGGGCGAAGGCCGGAUGCAGCACCGCCGCUUGCGGGAUGACGGCCUUCGGGUUGUAAACCGCUUUCGCCUGUGACGAGGCGAGAGGGACGGUAAUGGAUAAAGAAGCACCGGCUAAUUACGU